UGGGGAAUAUUGGACAAUGGGCGCAAGCCUGAUCCAGCCAUGCCGCGUGGAUGAUGAAGGCCCUAGGGUUGUAAAGUCCUUUCGACGGGGAAGAUAAUGACGGUACCCGUAGAAGAAGCCCCGGCUAACUUCGUGCCAGCAGCCGCGGUAAUACGAAGGGGGCUAGCGUUGCUCGGAAUCACUGGGCGUAAAGCGCACGUAGGCGGACUCUUAAGUCGGUGGUGAAAUCCUGGAGCUCAACUCCAGAACUGCCUUCGAUACUGAGAGUCUCGAGUCCGAGAGAGGUGAGUGGAACUGCGAGUGUAGAGGUGAAAUUCGUAGAUAUUCGCAAGAACACCAGUGGCGAAGGCGGCUCACUGGCUCGGUACUGACGCUGAGGUGCGAAAGCGUGGGGAGCAAACAGGAUUAGAUACCCUCGUAGUCCCUGAGCGGGCUGGCAAGGCGCAU
Molecule: ribosomal RNA, 447 nt
Filed under: uncultured bacterium
Lineage: Bacteria
Description: bacterial SSU rRNA
Rfam family: Bacterial small subunit ribosomal RNA
Source: RNAcentral